RNAcentral lists this ribosomal RNA (484 nucleotides) under uncultured bacterium. RNAcentral's name for it is "partial 16S ribosomal RNA". It matches the Rfam family "Bacterial small subunit ribosomal RNA", at positions 30 to 507 of the family's 1533-position model. The record is from RNAcentral.
AUUGAACGCUGGCGGCAGGCCUAACACAUGCAAGUCGAGCGGAUGAAGGGAGCUUGCUCCUGGAUUCAGCGGCGGACGGGUGAGUAAUGCCUAGGAAUCUGCCUGGUAGUGGGGGAUAACGUCCGGAAACGGGCGCUAAUACCGCAUACGUCCUGAGGGAGAAAGUGGGGGAUCUUCGGACCUCACGCUAUCAGAUGAGCCUAGGUCGGAUUAGCUAGUUGGUGGGGUAAAGGCCUACCAAGGCGACGAUCCGUAACUGGUCUGAGAGGAUGAUCAGUCAUAGUGGAACGGAGACACCGUCCAGACGUCUACGUGAGCAAGCAGGUGGGAAUAUUCUACAAUGUUCGAAAGUCUUAUCCAGCUACGCCGCGUGAGUGAUGAAGUUAUUUUGAUUUCAUAACUCUUUUAGUUGGCAACAAGAAAAGUGAACGUAUAUCUUCCCGUCGGAACGUUACCUAAAGAAAAAGCACCGGCUAACUUAGUG